This 253-nucleotide ribosomal RNA is filed under the name uncultured bacterium. RNAcentral describes it as "partial 16S ribosomal RNA". It matches the Rfam family "Bacterial small subunit ribosomal RNA", at positions 524 to 776 of the family's 1533-position model. The record is from RNAcentral.
UACGUAGGGAGCAAGCGUUGUCCGGAAUCAUUGGCGUAAAGCGCGCGUAGGUGGCCUCAUAAGUCCGCUGUGAAAGUCAAAGGCUCAACCUUUGAAAGCCGGUGGAUACUGUGGGGCUAGAGUACGGAAGAGGCGAGUGGAAUUCCUGGUGUAGCGGUGGAAUGCGCAGAUAUCAGGAGGAACACCAAUAGCGAAGGCAGCUCGCUGGGACGUUACUGACACUGAGGCGCGAAAGCCGUGGGGAGCGAACAGG